GUGACCUCAAAUCAGGUAGGACUACCCGCUGAACUUAAGCAUAUCAAUAAGCGGAGGAAAAGAAACUAACAAGGAUUCCCCUAGUAACUGCGAGUGAAGCGGGAAAAGCUCAAAUUUAAAAUCUGGCGGUCUUUUGGCUGUCCGAGUUGUAAUCUAGAGAAGUGUUAUCCGCGCUGGACCGUGUACAAGUCUCCUGGAAUGGAGCAUCAUAGAGGGUGAGAAUCCCGUCUUUGACAUGGGCUGCCAGGGCUUUGUGAUGCGCUCUCAAAGAGUCGAGUUGUUUGGGAAUGCAGCUCAAAAUGGGUGGUAAAUUCCAUCUAAAGCUAAAUAUUGGCGAGAGACCGAUAGCGAACAAGUACCGUGAGGGAAAGAUGAAAAGAACUUUGGAAAGAGAGUUAAACAGUACGUGAAAUUGCUGAAAGGGAAACGCUUGAAGUCAGUCGCGUCGUCCAGGGAUCAACCUUGCUUUUGCUUGGUGCACUUUCUGGUUUGACGGGUCAGCAUCAAUUUUGACUGUUGGAAAAAGGCUGAGGGAAUGUGGCAUCUUUGGAUGUGUUAUAGCCCUUGGUCACAUGCAAUGGUUGGGAUUGAGGAACUCAGCACGCCGCAAGGCCGGGUUUUAAACCACGUACGUGCUA
RNAcentral lists this ribosomal RNA (638 nucleotides) under Cortinarius colus. RNAcentral describes it as "eukaryotic LSU rRNA". It matches the Rfam family "Eukaryotic large subunit ribosomal RNA", at positions 1 to 620 of the family's 3401-position model. Lineage: Eukaryota; Fungi; Basidiomycota; Agaricomycetes; Agaricales; Cortinariaceae. The record is from RNAcentral.